UCAACAGUUGAGAUAUUCUUUUAGAUCAUCCAAUCAGACUUUCAGAUUUAGAAGAAUACACUAAUAACAGCAAACGUUCACUCAAACGUUGGGUCUGGCUGAACGCAGCUAUUGCAUAUAUCGCAUCCAAUCGCAUCCCUCCCAUUGCCUCUAUUUCAGAGUUCCUAUUGUUUUCGCGUUGCUAUAAAGUCCUUAGAAAUAGGAUGGCGUCUGGGUCGAUCCCUUAUUGGUUGCUCCAAUGACGCACUCUCUAUUCUGCACGGUAUGUAUGUAUGUACCGUGUGAUUUCAAAACGUCAAAAACGUGUCGAUAGAGACCUAUAUAAAGAGAGAAGCGACAUCGAACCCCCACCACUACCUCCAAUAAUGUUCUAUGGGUGCGUUCCACUUAACGCCUGCAACGACAACGACCACGACCGCAAUAUUUGCCGUUCCACUAGAUUGUGGGCGCUACGGUCGAAAUCUUAAGUGGAACGAGUUUUGUGUAGUUGUAUAUAUUCUUCGAAUCCCCACCAUCAUUCUCAGCACUGACAUAUUGUGACCGCUCCAUGUCAACAAACUCCACUUAAUAAACGUCAUGAUUGAUACUCCGUCAUCGUGAAAUUAAGGUUUACUGUUUAAUACACAUAGCAAUUUUCACGUUUUAUUUUUUUGCGCGCGUCACGGGAUCAUGUCCAAACGUUAAAAAUGUCACAGCAAGAAAUAAAAAGUGAGCUAAAUGUGUAAUGAUGGUAAAAGAAAGCUGGAUUAUAUUGAUCAGAUUAUUCAAGAAAUGAAAAAUAGGUUAGUUUGAGGAGAGUUAAUUAUAUUAUAUUUGUUGCACAAUUAUUGAUAAAGCUUCAGACAUUUCUGUAAAUCAAUCUAAUUCUGAAAUUGCUGAUAUUACAAAUAAUACAUUGCUCAUCGAUCAGCUAAAAACUCAAAAUGAUGAAGCUUCACAAUUAAUCAUCCAUCUGGAACAUGAGCAUAAUGCAAACCUAAA
This is an RNA transcript of Solenopsis invicta (red fire ant), 981 nucleotides long. RefSeq lists it as uncharacterized. The record is from RefSeq and is a predicted model, not a curated record. The transcript is spliced from 4 exons. Lineage: Eukaryota; Metazoa; Arthropoda; Insecta; Hymenoptera; Formicidae.